UGGGGAAUAUUGCACAAUGGGGGAAACCCUGAUGCAGCAACGCCGCGUGAGCGAAGAAGGCCUUUGGGUCGUAAAGCUCUGUCCUUAGGGAAGAAAACCAUGACGGUACCUAAGGAGGAAGCCCCGGCUAACUACGUGCCAGCAGCCGCGGUAAUACGUAGGGGGCAAGCGUUAUCCGGAAUUAUUGGGCGUAAAGGGUACGUAGGCGGUUUCAUAAGCGUGAGGUGAAAGGCAAUGGCUUAACUAUUGUAAGCCUUGCGAACUGUGAGACUUGAGUGCAGGAGAGGAGAGCGGAAUUCCUAGUGUAGCGGUGAAUGCGUAGAUAUUAGGAGGAACACCAGUGGCGAAGGCGGCUCUCUGGACUGUGACUGACGCUGAGGUACGAAAGCGUGGGGAGCAAACA
RNAcentral lists this ribosomal RNA (403 nucleotides) under uncultured Eubacteriales bacterium. RNAcentral's name for it is "bacterial SSU rRNA". It matches the Rfam family "Bacterial small subunit ribosomal RNA", at positions 355 to 774 of the family's 1533-position model. Lineage: Bacteria; Bacillati; Bacillota; Clostridia; Eubacteriales. The record is from RNAcentral.